AAAAAAGCCCUCUAUAAUUCUAUAUACUAUAUCAAUAUUUUCUUAAUAUUUUUAGAUUGAACUGAAUUCCUACUACAAAUUAUGCCAGAAAGUACACUGAAAUGUUAAAACAGAAUAAGAACUAUAAACUUCAUUUUCCCUGAUUAGGUACUCCAAAAAACACAGAUUAGUUUUAAACUACUGGUACAUUAAGCAAGAUAAGAAAAAAAAUAAAAUUUAAGUAAUGCAAGAUUUCAUAACCUAUAAAAACUUUGGUGCCAUUCAAAGAAUUGCAUGUCGAGGGCACUAUUAUUUCCUGAUGACAUAAUUUAUAAUACAUUAAAAAAAAUACAGUUU
This 336-nucleotide long non-coding RNA is filed under the name Bos taurus (domestic cattle). RNAcentral describes it as "long non-coding RNA NONBTAT017171". The record is from RNAcentral. Lineage: Eukaryota; Metazoa; Chordata; Mammalia; Artiodactyla; Bovidae.